GAUGAACGCUGGCGGCGUGCCUAAUACAUGCAAGUCGAGCGAACGGACGAGAAGCUUGCUUCUCUGAUGUUAGCGGCGGACGGGUGAGUAACACGUGGAUAACCUACCUAUAAGACUGGGAUAACUUCGGGAAACCGGAGCUAAUACCGGAUAAUAUUUUGAACCGCAUGGUUCAAAAGUGAAAGACGGUCUUGCUGUCACUUAUAGAUGGAUCCGCGCUGCAUUAGCUAGUUGGUAAGGUAACGGCUUACCAAGGCAACGAUGCAUAGCCGACCUGAGAGGGUGAUCGUCCACACUAGAACUGAGACACGGUCCAGACUCCUGCGGGAGGCAGCAGUAGGGAAUCUUCCGCAAUGGGCGAAAGCCUGACGGAGCAACGCCGCGUGAGUGAUGAAGGUCUUCGGAUCGUAAAACUCUGUUAUUAGGGAAGAACAUAUGUGUAAGUAACUGUGCACAUCUUGACGGUACCUAAUCAGAAAGCCACGGCUAACUACGUG
Molecule: ribosomal RNA, 497 nt
Filed under: uncultured bacterium
Lineage: Bacteria
Description: partial 16S ribosomal RNA
Rfam family: Bacterial small subunit ribosomal RNA
Source: RNAcentral